UGUGGUCUUCAUAGCCACUUGAACACUUGAGCCAAAUACAGGAAAUAUGACAUGCAAGUAGACAAGUGCUCAAAUGCAAAGACCGCAAGUGUGG
Long non-coding RNA from Sinocyclocheilus rhinocerous, 94 nucleotides. RefSeq lists it as uncharacterized. The record is from RefSeq and is a predicted model, not a curated record. NCBI's taxonomy places the organism in Eukaryota, Metazoa, Chordata, Actinopteri, Cypriniformes, Cyprinidae. The transcript has 3 exons.